UACGAAGGGGGCGAGCGUUGUUCGGAUUUACUGGGCGUAAAGGGCGCGUAGGCGGCCUUGUCAGUCAGGCGUGAAAGCCCCGGGCUCAACCUGGGAACGGCGCUUGGGACGGCGAGGCUGGAGUUCGGGAGAGGAGAGUGGAAUUCCCAGUGUAGAGGUGAAAUUCGUAGAUAUUGGGAAGAACACCGGUGGCGAAGGCGGCUCUGUGGACCGACACUGACGCUGAGGCGCGAAAGCGUGGGGAGCAAACAGG
This 253-nucleotide ribosomal RNA is filed under the name uncultured bacterium. RNAcentral's name for it is "partial 16S ribosomal RNA". It matches the Rfam family "Bacterial small subunit ribosomal RNA", at positions 524 to 776 of the family's 1533-position model. The record is from RNAcentral.